Molecule: long non-coding RNA, 535 nt
Filed under: Helianthus annuus (common sunflower)
Lineage: Eukaryota; Viridiplantae; Streptophyta; Magnoliopsida; Asterales; Asteraceae
Description: hypothetical non coding rna
Source: RNAcentral
AUCUAACGAAUGCCAAAGUGUUGUACUUUGUGAAUUUCGUUAAACGGAAUCCAAAGUACUAUACUUUGUGAGUUCAAUAAAUGGAUGCCAAAGUAUUGUCUGAAUAAGACUAUACUUUGUGAAAUUCGUUAAGGUUCGAAUCUCGUGAUCAUCGUUAGGUUUGAUAUUGUUUUACACAAAUACGUAUUCCAUGCUGUUAAACUAUAUGUUUAACUACCCGAAACUCUACACCGUACUCUGACAAUCAAUAUGGAUGCCUAAUCAUUAGAAGGUUCAAAACAAUAAAGUAUAUGCCUAGUUAUCAGGAGGCGUAAAAUCAAGAAAAUCAAUACUGCAUGCUUAUACUGUAAUUACAGUAGAUUGGAGUAAGAGUUGGAUACGACACCAACAAGACUUACAGAAGUGGCUCAUUUUUUUUAUCAAUUAAAUUAAAUUAAGAAAAAUUGUUUUAUAUAAUCGGGUUUAUCCCUUAUUAAAGCUACCAUUGUAAAACAUGGGUUUUUAUCCCAUCUAUUUAAUAAAUAAAAUCCGGUGU